GAUGAACGCUGGCGGCGUGCCUAACACAUGCAAGUCGAGCGAUCUUCUUCGGAAGAGAGCGGCGGACGGGUGAGUAACGCGUGGGUAACCUGCCCUGUACACACGGAUAACAUACCGAAAGGUAUGCUAAUACGAGAUAAUAUGCUUUUGUCGCAUGGUAGAAGUAUCAAAGCUCCGGCGGUACAGGAUGGACCCGCGUCUGAUUAGCUAGUUGGUAAGGUAACGGCUUACCAAGGCGACGAUCAGUAGCCGACCUGAGAGGGUGAUCGGCCACAUUGGAACUGAGACACGGUCCAAACUCCUACGGGAGGCAGCAGUGGGGAAUAUUGCACAAUGGGCGAAAGCCUGAUGCAGCAACGCCGCGUGAGCGAUGAAGGCCUUCGGGUCGUAAAGCUCUGUCCUCAAGGAAGAUAAUGACGGUACUUGAGGAGGAAGCCCCGGCUAACUACGUG
RNAcentral lists this ribosomal RNA (452 nucleotides) under uncultured bacterium. RNAcentral describes it as "bacterial SSU rRNA". It matches the Rfam family "Bacterial small subunit ribosomal RNA", at positions 28 to 507 of the family's 1533-position model. The record is from RNAcentral.